AAUAUUGCCAUGAAAGUGUACUUUAUGUAGCGGGUAUUAACUCACUUACUUAUGGACCAGGAAUAAUAAGAUCAGAAGGGUGGACAGUACGAAGGAGGAGGUAGCAGUGAUAGUGAGCAACAAGCAGAGACAGAAGAUUCGUGAUCCAAUCAGGUCGAAAUGGGAGGCUCGCCAUCAAUUAGGAAAAUCCAGCUCAAGUAAUGUUCAUAGUACGAAAGGAAAAAACAUUCAAUAUUGUGUAUCAAUAAUGAUGAACAAUUGUACACAAUACAGGAAACAAAUAAAAUACAUACAUAAGUGCCAUCAUCAUAAUAAAUGACAAUUUAGACAAAUACCUGUCCAUUCACGUGUUUCUCUCUCUUUUUGUCUUUCACAGGCACGUGCAACCAAAAUGGCGUCAGCGAACAGCAGUGAACACAACGCACCAUGUGGUUUUACAUAAUCACACUGCAAUGAACAAUCCAACCCAUAUAACAUCACAAUAUAACACCAUUUUGUCUCGUAUGGAUUAAACAAAUAAAAUGAUAUGACAUUUAAA
Molecule: non-coding RNA, 538 nt
Organism: Misgurnus anguillicaudatus (oriental weatherfish)
Lineage: Eukaryota; Metazoa; Chordata; Actinopteri; Cypriniformes; Cobitidae
Source: RefSeq, a predicted model, not a curated record